CAGCAGCCGCGGUAAUACGUAGGUGGCAAGCGUUGUCCGGAAUUAUUGGGCGCAAAGCGCAUGUAGGCGGUAAUUUAAGUCUGUCGUGAAACUGCGGGGCUCAGCCCCGUAUGGCGAUGGAAACUGGGUUACUUGAGUGCAGGAGAGGAAAGGGGAACUCCCAGUGUAGCGGUGAAAUGCGUAGAUAUUGGGAAGAACACCGGUGGCGAAGGCGCCUUUCUGGACUGUGUCUGACGCUGAGAUGCGAAAGCCAGGGUAGCGAACGGGAUUAGAUACCCCGGUAGUCCUGGCCGUAAACGAUGGGUACUAGGUGUGGGAGGUAUCGACCCCUUCCGUGCCGGAGUUAACGCAAUAAGUACCCCGCCUGGGGAGUACGGCCGCAAGGCUUAAACUCAAAUAAAUUGACGG
RNAcentral lists this ribosomal RNA (408 nucleotides) under uncultured rumen bacterium. RNAcentral's name for it is "bacterial SSU rRNA". It matches the Rfam family "Bacterial small subunit ribosomal RNA", at positions 509 to 916 of the family's 1533-position model. The record is from RNAcentral.